UCCCCUAGUAACGGCGAGUGAAGAGGGAAAAGCUCAAAUUUAAAAUCUGGCGGUCUUCGGCCGUCCGAGUUGUAGUUUAGAGAGGUGCUUUCCGCGCUGGACCGUGUACAAGUCCCCUGGGAUGGGGCGUCAUAGAGGGUGAGAAUCCCGUCCAUGACACGGACUACCAGGGCUAUGUGAUGCGCCUUCAAAGAGUCGAGUUGUUUGGGAAUGCAGCUCAAAAUGGGUGGUAAACUCCAUCUAAAGCUAAAUAUUGGCGAGAGACCGAUAGCGAACAAGUACCGUGAGGGAAAGAUGAAAAGAACUUUGGAAAGAGAGUUAAACAGUGCGUGAAAUUGCUGAAAGGGAAACGCUUGAAGUCAGUCGCGUUCGGCGGGACUCAGCCUUGCUUCUGCUUGGUGCACUUCCUGUCGGACGGGUCAGCGUCGAUUUUGACCGCUGGACAAUGGAGGGAGGAAUGUGGCACCUUCGGGUGUGUUAUAGCCUCUUUUCGUAUACAGUGAUUGGGAUCGAGGACCGCAGCGCGCCUCUGGUCGGGGGUCUCCCCACGUAUCGCGCUUAGGAUGCUGGCGUAAUGGCUUUAAACGACCCGUCUUGAAACACGGACCAAGGAGUCCAACAUGCAUGCGAGUGUUAGGGUGGUAAACCCUUGCGCGUAAUGAAAGUGAAAAGUUGGGACUCUCGUCACUGGGAGGCACCGACGCCCGAUCCUGACCUUUUGCGACGGAUUUGAGGUAGAGCAUGUAUGCUGGGACCCGAAAGAUGGUGAACUAUGCCUGAAUA
This 783-nucleotide ribosomal RNA is filed under the name Stypella subgelatinosa. RNAcentral's name for it is "partial large subunit ribosomal RNA". It matches the Rfam family "Eukaryotic large subunit ribosomal RNA", at positions 76 to 843 of the family's 3401-position model. Lineage: Eukaryota; Fungi; Basidiomycota; Agaricomycetes; Auriculariales; Hyaloriaceae. The record is from RNAcentral.